AAGUCGUAACAAGGUUUCCGUAGGUGAACCUGCGGAAGGAUCAUUACAGAGAACAUUUGCCCUUAACGGGUGAAACUCUCCAACCCUAUGUUAUUAUACCUUUGUUGCUUUGGCGAAGCCGCCUCGGCCACCGGCUCACGCUGGUGAGUGCUCGCCAUGAGGACCCCAAACUCUGAAUGUUAGUGUCGUCUGAGUACUAUAUAAUAGUUAAAA
RNAcentral lists this unclassified non-coding RNA (213 nucleotides) under plant metagenome. RNAcentral's name for it is "partial contains small subunit ribosomal RNA and internal transcribed spacer 1". The stretch from base 1 to 46 matches the Rfam family "Eukaryotic small subunit ribosomal RNA", at positions 1786 to 1831 of the family's 1831-position model. The record is from RNAcentral.